Molecule: microRNA precursor, 87 nt
Filed under: Pediculus humanus corporis (human body louse)
Lineage: Eukaryota; Metazoa; Arthropoda; Insecta; Psocodea; Pediculidae
Description: microRNA, putative
Rfam family: mir-252 microRNA precursor family (bases 9-81)
Source: RNAcentral
AAAAUCUAUUUCACUUCUAAGUACUAGUGCCGCAGGAGUUUAUAUUGAAACCUCCUGCUGCUCGGGUGCUUAUCACUGAAUAGAUUC